UCUAGUAUGGCAGAUUAGUGCAAUGAAUUUAAGAUUCAUAUAUAAAUAUAUUUAUUUUUCUAGAA
Molecule: transfer RNA, 65 nt
Filed under: Idioscopus nitidulus
Lineage: Eukaryota; Metazoa; Arthropoda; Insecta; Hemiptera; Cicadellidae
Description: tRNA-Leu
Source: RNAcentral